GCGGGUGUAGCUCAGUUGGUUAGAGCACCAGAUUGUGGUUCUGGGGGUCGCCGGUUCGAGACCGGUCACCCGCC
Molecule: transfer RNA, 74 nt
Filed under: Rickettsiales bacterium Ac37b
Lineage: Bacteria; Pseudomonadati; Pseudomonadota; Alphaproteobacteria; Rickettsiales
Rfam family: tRNA
About the family: Transfer RNA (tRNA) molecules are approximately 80 nucleotides in length. Their secondary structure includes four short double-helical elements and three loops (D, anti-codon, and T loops).
Source: Rfam by way of RNAcentral